AGCCUACUGAAUCCGUGCUGAGAUUUCGUCAGACACCAACCCAUUAGGGCUGAUCAAACUUCCAAGAUAACUAAAGUU
Non-coding RNA from Schistosoma haematobium, 78 nucleotides. Lineage: Eukaryota; Metazoa; Platyhelminthes; Trematoda; Strigeidida; Schistosomatidae. The record is from Rfam.